RNAcentral lists this ribosomal RNA (492 nucleotides) under uncultured bacterium. RNAcentral describes it as "partial 16S ribosomal RNA". It matches the Rfam family "Bacterial small subunit ribosomal RNA", at positions 29 to 507 of the family's 1533-position model. The record is from RNAcentral.
AGUGAACGCUGGCGGUAGGCCUAACACAUGCAAGUCGAACGGCAGCACAGUAAGAGCUUGCUCUUACGGGUGGCGAGUGGCGGACGGGUGAGGAAUACAUCGGAAUCUACUUUUUCGUGAGGGGUAACGUAGGGAAACUUACGCUAAUACCGCAUACGACCUACGGGUGAAAGCAGGGGAUCUUCGGACCUUGCGCGAUUGAAUGAGCCGAUGUCGGAUUAGCUAGUUGGCGGGGUAAAGGCCCACCAAGGCGACGAUCCGUAGCUGGUCUGAGAGGAUGAUCAGCCACACUGGAACUGAGACACGGUCCAGACUCCUACGGGAGGCAGCAGUGGGGAAUAUUGGACAAUGGGCGCAAGCCUGAUCCAGCCAUACCGCGUGGGUGAAGAAGGCCUUCGGGUUGUAAAGCCCUUUUGUUGGGAAAGAAAAGCAGCAGGUUAAUACCCCGCUGUUCUGACGGUACCCAAAGAAUAAGCACCGGCUAACUUCGUG